GAGUAAUUUGUCAAGUCUCAACUAAUUUAGGUUUAAUUCAUGUUUUGCACAAAAAUUUUGUGUUUAGGCUGUUGAAAGCUUCACAAGACCGUUGUUAAGAGGCGAAUGUCCCAUGUGAGUGGAGGAGGACCCAUAGAUUUGUCUGACACAGAUUCCCUACAGGCCUGGAUCAACAUGACUGGCUUCCUUUGAACCCUUGGGGGAGUGUGCCUCCAGCAGAGAAGUAAUUCUGGCCUGGCAACCUAUAGCCCACCCGUGGGUCCGGUCAGUGAACAUAAGGGUUCCCCGAUUUCAGUGAUGUCCUCAGAGGGAAAUGCAGAUACACCUGUCAGCAAAUAUAUGGAUCAGCUGUUGGUCGUUAAUGGUGUGUAACCAUGAGAAAGUGGGACUUCAAAUACGGACCAAUGAUAAGGACCUGGUGGGUCUAGAAUCAGUCCUGCUCUUUAUCUGAUGCUAUUUACAAAUUGAAGAAUACCAUCAGCAAGUUUUUUGACUCCCAAGGACAGGUUUUAUUGACUGAUACCAAUACUCAAUUUGUAGAGCAAACCCUAGCUAUAUUGAAGAACUUGCUAGAUAAUCAUACUGAAGGCAGCUCUGAACAUCUAGAGCAAGCUAGCAUUGAAACAAUGAUGUUAUAUCUGGUCAGGUAUGUUCGUGUGCUUGGGAAUAUGGUCCAUGCAAUUCAAAUAAAAACGAAACUGUAUCAGUUGGUUGAAGUAACGAUGGCAAGGAGAGAUGACCUCUCAUUUUGCCAAGAGAUGAAAUUAGGUGAGUUCUCAAAAGAGCGAUGUAGAGUCCUGUAAAUCUUAAUAUGUUGAAUGAAGUACAGAAAUAGAGU
This 838-nucleotide long non-coding RNA is filed under the name Pan troglodytes (chimpanzee). RNAcentral's name for it is "lncRNA (ENSPTRG00000054078.1)". Lineage: Eukaryota; Metazoa; Chordata; Mammalia; Primates; Hominidae. The record is from RNAcentral.